AAUGGCUGCAGUAAUAUAACUGUACAAAGGUAGCAUAAUCAUUAGUUUUUUAAUUAAAAGCUUGUAUGAAAGGUUGGACGAAGUAAAAUCUGUCUCUUUUUAAUAUAAUUAGAAUUUAAUUUUUAAGUAAAAAAGCUUAAAUUUUUAUAAAAGACGAGAAGACCCUAUAGAGUUUAAUAAUUAAUUUAAAUUAAUUAAUUUAGAUUUAUUAAUUUUAUUUUUAAAAAAUUAUUUUAUUGGGGUAAUAGAAAGAUUUAUAUAAUUCUUUUUUUAUUUUUACAUUUAUUUAUGAUUAAAAUGAUCCAUUUUUUAUGAUUAAAAGAUUAAAUUACCUUAGGGAUAACAGCGUAAUUUUUUUUAAGAGUUCAUAUCGAUAAAAAAGUUUGCGACCUCGAUGUUGGAUUAAAGAUUAAUUUAGGUGUAGAAGUUUAAAUUUUUGGUCUGUUCGACCAUUAAAUCUUUACAUGAUCUGAGUUCAAACCGGUGUAAGCCAGGUUGGUUUCUAUCUUUAUAAAAUUUUUAUAUUUUAGUACGAAAGGACCAAAUAUUUAAUAUAUUAAUAUUUAUUAUUUUGAAUAUUAUUAAAUUUAUUAUUUUGGCAGAUUAGUGUAAUGAAUUUAGAAUUCAUAAAAGUAAUAUUUUUACAAAUAAUACUUGUUUUUAAUGGAUAUUAUAAUUUCUUUAAUUUUAAUGAUUUUAUUAAUUAUUUGUGUUUUAGUUGGAGUUGC
This 728-nucleotide ribosomal RNA is filed under the name Duvalius sp. 1 MJMH-2021a. Its description in RNAcentral is "partial large subunit ribosomal RNA". The stretch from base 1 to 533 matches the Rfam family "Bacterial large subunit ribosomal RNA", at positions 1926 to 2925 of the family's 2925-position model. Lineage: Eukaryota; Metazoa; Arthropoda; Insecta; Coleoptera; Carabidae. The record is from RNAcentral.